RNAcentral lists this ribosomal RNA (658 nucleotides) under uncultured bacterium. RNAcentral describes it as "bacterial SSU rRNA". It matches the Rfam family "Bacterial small subunit ribosomal RNA", at positions 610 to 1266 of the family's 1533-position model. The record is from RNAcentral.
UAACUGUGAGCGUGCGGGCGAUACGGGCAGACUUGAGUACUGCAGGGGAGACUGGAAUUCCUGGUGUAGCGGUGGAAUGCGCAGAUAUCAGGAGGAACACCGGUGGCGAAGGCGGGUCUCUGGGCAGUAACUGACGCUGAGGAGCGAAAGCGUGGGGAGCGAACAGGAUUAGAUACCCUGGUAGUCCACGCCGUAAACGGUGGGUACUAGGUGUGGGUUUCCUUCCUUGGGAUCCGUGCCGUAGCUAACGCAUUAAGUACCCCGCCUGGGGAGUACGGCCGCAAGGCUAAAACUCAAGGAAAUUGACGGGGGCCCGCACAAGCGGCGGAGCAUGUGGAUUAAUUCGAUGCAACGCGAAGAACCUUACCUGGGUUUGACAUGCACAGGACGCCGGCAGAGAUGUCGGUUCCUUUGUGGCCUGUGUGCAGGUGGUGCAUGGCUGUCGUCAGCUCGUGUCGUGAGAUGUUGGGUUAAGUCCCGCAACGAGCGCAACCCUUGUCUCAUGUUGCCAGCGGGUAAUGCCGGGGACUCGUGAGAGACUGGCCGGGGUCAACUCGGAGGAAGGUGGGGAUGACGUCAAGUCAUCAUGCCCCUUAUGUCCAGGGCUUCACACAUGCUACAAUGGCCGGUACAAAGGGCUGCGAUGCCGCGAGGUUAA